ACCAGUGUGGUGUAGUGGUUGAGCAUUGGACUAUGACUCUGAGACCAGAGUUCGAAUCCCUGCUCAGCCA
Phrynosoma platyrhinos (Desert horned lizard) is the source of this 70-nucleotide non-coding RNA. NCBI's taxonomy places the organism in Eukaryota, Metazoa, Chordata, Lepidosauria, Squamata, Phrynosomatidae. The record is from the annotation of a GenBank genome assembly.